GAUGAACGCUGGCGGCGUGCCUAAUACAUGCAAGUCGAGCGAACAGACGAGGAGCUUGCUCCUCUGACGUUAGCGGCGGACGGGUGAGUAACACGUGGAUAACCUACCUAUAAGACUGGGAUAACUUCGGGAAACCGGAGCUAAUACCGGAUAAUAUAUUGAACCGCAUGGUUCAAUAGUGAAAGACGGUUUUGCUGUCACUUAUAGAUGGAUCCGCGCCGCAUUAGCUAGUUGGUAAGGUAACGGCUUACCAAGGCAACGAUGCGUAGCCGACCUGAGAGGGUGAUCGGCCACCCUGGAACUGAGACACGGUCCAGACUCCUACGGGAGGCAGCAGUAGGGAAUCUUCCGCAAUGGGCGAAAGCCUGACUGAGCAACGCCGCGUGAGUGAUGAAGGUCUUCGGAUCGUAAAACUCUGUUAUUAGGGAAGAACAAAUGUGUAAGUAACUAUGCACGUCUUGACGGUACCUAAUCAGAAAGCCACGGCUAACUACGUG
This 497-nucleotide ribosomal RNA is filed under the name uncultured bacterium. RNAcentral describes it as "partial 16S ribosomal RNA". It matches the Rfam family "Bacterial small subunit ribosomal RNA", at positions 28 to 507 of the family's 1533-position model. The record is from RNAcentral.